UUCUCCGUGGCGCAAUUGGCUAGCGCGUUCGACUGUUAGGAUGCAAUCGAGAGGUUGACAGUUCAAGCCUGUCCGGGGAAG
This is a non-coding RNA of Morchella snyderi, 81 nucleotides long. Lineage: Eukaryota; Fungi; Ascomycota; Pezizomycetes; Pezizales; Morchellaceae. The record is from the annotation of a GenBank genome assembly.